GUCGCGAUGGAUGACUUGGCUUCCUAUUUCGUUGAAGAACGCAGCAAAGUGCGAUAAGUGGUAUCAAUUGCAGAAUCAUUUCAUUGCCCAAUCUUUGAACGCAAACGGCGCAUGGGAGAAGCUCUCUCGAGCCAUCCCCGUGCAUGCCACAUUUCUCAGUGUCGAAUAUCAAA
This 173-nucleotide ribosomal RNA is filed under the name Trypanosoma evansi evansi. RNAcentral describes it as "5.8S ribosomal RNA". It matches the Rfam family "5.8S ribosomal RNA". From Rfam's summary of the family: 5.8S ribosomal RNA (5.8S rRNA) is a component of the large subunit of the eukaryotic ribosome. It is transcribed by RNA polymerase I as part of the 45S precursor that also contains 18S and 28S rRNA. The record is from RNAcentral. Lineage: Eukaryota; Euglenozoa; Kinetoplastea; Trypanosomatida; Trypanosomatidae.